AUUAACUAGUGAGAAUAAAUGCCACGAAAUCUAACAUUAGUACUCUGAACUGAAUUUGCUUAUGCCAGACCUCUAAACAAUAAAUUGUGUUCUGCUGUGUUGCUAUGCCCGUUCAUGAGGCAUAGCCAUUUUAAAGUAAAGCAUCUUGGAGAUUCCAAAAGAGCAGAAUGGGGAAGGGGUGUACUGCUUUAGGCUAGGGGAAAACAGCAAAAAAAAAAAGUGGAUGAAGUAUAUUCUUAGGGGAGACUUGGAGAGCAAACUACAGGAAGUGCUGAGGAAGGAAGAAGGACACCGUGGAUCAUGGUGGAAGGCCCACGUGGACGCAAAGCAGCAAGCACAGACACAGCACAUGACCCCAGGAGCUGAGAGCAGGAGACUGCAUCAGCUUUGGAGACCGUCGGACACAUUGCUGGGGAAAGCCAGACAUGAGCCUCCUUCAGCACCGGACACAGCCUAGGAUCUGGCGGGGCUCAGGACCUCCCCUCCCAUCUCUAGUCCCACGAGACAUUUUCAUGGAUAUGAAACUGGACACCGAGUUGACGCUGAAGUUCAGCUGCUGGGUAUCUUCCAUUUCUGGAGCCUGCUCAUCUUCCUUGUAAAACCCGGCUAGGCCUUCACCCUGGACAGGAGCAACUGGUUCGGAGUCAGUGGCUCAGCCAUGAGGAAGCCGAGAAGCGAUGUCUGCCUCCCCUCCUCCCUCCCAGAGGAUCUGGAUGUGAAACUAACCCAGAGUGGACACUGAAGCUCAGCUGCCAAGUAAUCUCCCAUUCCCAGAGAGAUUGCACAGAUUCCUGCUCAACGCCAGCUGGGUCUUCUUCCUGGAGAGGAGCAACUGGUGAGCAGAUGUGGCUGCCCCAGUAGUGGCCAUGUCUGGAUGCACAAGGGGAAGGGAAGGGAAAGCCCAUUCCCUGGGGUUGGGCGGCCCAGGCUGACAGAGAUGUGGACGUCAUUCCCAUGGCAGGGAGGGUCAUGUGGGUAGCCCCACAGGCAUGGGGAGAAAUGUAGGGGCCUGGUGGGCUUCAGUAGAGUUGGAUAGCAUGCAGACAGGGAUGGAUAGGAUGUUGGGGGAAUGAGUUCCCCCGGGCACUGCAGAGAAUUAGGGGCCAAAGAACAUGGUAAUAGGGGAAUACUUGGGUAUCCAGGAAAUGGGAGGGAGACCUGGAGGAAAAGUGUGUGCUGUUGAGUCAGAGUACAAAACCCAAGAAGUCUGGAUUGGAGAGACGUGUUAAUAAAAGUUUGGGUUUUAGAUUUCGGGCCUAAGAAUGACGGGAUGGAGGUAUUUUGUGUGGUGUGAGUGGAGGGUUAGAUUUCAUGGAAGAACCGGGGCAUGCAAUGUGUUGGGAGCUGAAAUCAGGUAAUUUCUGUAUAUUGCCACUCUGUGAUAUAGACAGGGAAAUGGAAGGAGUGUAUGGAGGAGGUCAGGUGACUUUCAGUAGAGUUGUAAUAGGGAGGAGCUGGUAGGUCUACUAGUAGAACUGGUGGAGUCUCCGAGUAUUAGACCUGGGACAGCAUCUGGGCAACAACCUUAGGAAAAUGAGGGUAAGAAAAUGGUGAUGGGUGUGGUGUGGUCUUUCUUAGGGACUGUGGUAUGGGUGCACGGUUAAUUAGGAAACUUUGACAAAGCUCUCGGGAAUACCAGGGAUGGGAGAGGAUUUUCUGGGAGAAAACUGGAUUGGUGGUGUGCUUAGGAAGACAAGAACCUGAUCAAGCCUGGAAUGAAAUUUGAGGCUUGAGGUCAGCUUAUAGAAGUCUGAAUUUGGGCAGAGGACUCUGUCUUGGUAAAGGUGUAUUUCUUGUCUUUCAAGAUGUUUCUGUUAUGUGCCAGCAUUUGUUCUCGUUAUUUAAUGUAAUGCAGGGGGCAACGUGAGGUACUUUGAAAAGUUUGUGGAAAGAAGCAGUUGUGAGUUUGUUGUCUUUCAAGACAUUUUGAUGAACUGCGUACAGCUUUGUCAUGGUGCAUGUUUUCCAUAUCCUUCUAGGCAGCUCUGUGUGAAAGCUUCUGCUUUCAUGGAGUGUUUGUUCUGAUUGCUGUUUGGGGGCUGGGAAUGACUUAGUCCUGCAGGACUUUACCAGGUAGGAGUUCUUGAAAUAUCUUCCUCUU
Molecule: non-coding RNA, 2101 nt
Organism: Oryctolagus cuniculus (rabbit)
Lineage: Eukaryota; Metazoa; Chordata; Mammalia; Lagomorpha; Leporidae
Source: RefSeq, a predicted model, not a curated record